Molecule: ribosomal RNA, 694 nt
Filed under: Staphylococcus aureus
Lineage: Bacteria; Bacillati; Bacillota; Bacilli; Caryophanales; Staphylococcaceae
Description: partial 23S ribosomal RNA
Rfam family: Bacterial large subunit ribosomal RNA
Source: RNAcentral
GAACCUGAAACCGUGUGCUUACAAGUAGUCAGAGCCCGUUAAUGGGUGAUGGCGUGCCUUUUGUAGAAUGAACCGGCGAGUUACGAUUUGAUGCAAGGUUAAGCAGUAAAUGUGGAGCCGUAGCGAAAGCGAGUCUGAAUAGGGCGUUUAGUAUUUGGUCGUAGACCCGAAACCAGGUGAUCUACCCUUGGUCAGGUUGAAGUUCAGGUAACACUGAAUGGAGGACCGAACCGACUUACGUUGAAAAGUGAGCGGAUGAACUGAGGGUAGCGGAGAAAUUCCAAUCGAACCUGGAGAUAGCUGGUUCUCUCCGAAAUAGCUUUAGGGCUAGCCUCAAGUGAUGAUUAUUGGAGGUAGAGCACUGUUUGGACGAGGGGCCCCUCUCGGGUUACCGAAUUCAGACAAACUCCGAAUGCCAAUUAAUUUAACUUGGGAGUCAGAACAUGGGUGAUAAGGUCCGUGUUCGAAAGGGAAACAGCCCAGACCACCAGCUAAGGUCCCAAAAUAUAUGUUAAGUGGAAAAGGAUGUGGCGUUGCCCAGACAACUAGGAUGUUGGCUUAGAAGCAGCCAUCAUUUAAAGAGUGCGUAAUAGCUCACUAGUCGAGUGACACUGCGCCGAAAAUGUACCGGGGCUAAACAUAUUACCGAAGCUGUGGAUUGUCCUUUGGACAAUGGUAGGAGAGCGUUCUAAGG